GUGAAGUCAUUGAUGCCAUGCUUCCAGGAAAAGCCUCUAAGCUUCAGAUUGUAAGGAAUCGUACCCCAAACCGACACAGGUGGUCGGGUAGAGAAUACCAAGGCGCUUGAGAGAACUCGGGUGAAGGAACUAGGCAAAAUGGUACCGUAACUUCGGGAGAAGGUACGCUCUCGACGGUGAAGUCCCUUGCGGAUGGAGCUAUUGAGAGUCGCAGAUACCAGGUGGCUGCAACUGUUUAUUAAAAACACAGCACUGUGCAAAAUCGCAAGAUGACGUAUACGGUGUGACGCCUGCCCGGUGCCGGAAGGUUAAUUGAUGGGGUUAGACUUCGGUCGAAGCUCUUGAUCGAAGCCCCGGUAAACGGCGGCCGUAACUAUAACGGUCCUAAGGUAGCGAAAUUCCUUGUCGGGUAAGUUCCGACCUGCACGAAUGGCGUAAUGAUGGCCACGCUGUCUCCACCCGAGACUCAGUGAAAUUGAAAUCGCUGUGAAGAUGCAGUGUACCCGCGGCUAGACGGAAAGACCCCGUGAACCUUUACUACAGCUUGGCACUGAACAUUGACCCUACAUGUGUAGGAUAGGUGGGAGGCUUUGAAGCGCAGUCGCUAGAUUGCGUGGAGCCGUCCUUGAAAUACCACCCUUGUAGUGUUGAUGUUCUAACGUCGACCCCUUAUCGGGGUUGCGGACAGUGCCUGGUGGGUAGUUUGACUGGGGCGGUCUCCUCCCAAAGCGUAACGGAGGAGCACGAAGGUGGGCUAAUCACGGUUGGACAUCGUGAGGUUAGUGCAAUGGCAUAAGCCCGCUUGACUGCGAGAAUGACAAUUCGAGCAGGUGCGAAAGCAGGUCAUAGUGAUCCGGUGGUUCUGAAUGGAAGGGCCAUCGCUCAACGGAUAAAAGGUACUCCGGGGAUAACAGGCUGAUACCGCCCAAGAGUUCAUAUCGACGGCGGUGUUUGGCACCUCGAUGUCGGCUCAUCACAUCCUGGGGCUGAAGUCGGUCCCAAGGGUAUGGCUGUUCGCCAUUUAAAGUGGUACGCGAGCUGGGUUUAGAACGUCGUGAGACAGUUCGGUCCCUAUCUGCCGUGGGCGUUGGAGAAUUGAAAGGGGCUGCUCCUAGUACGAGAGGACCGGAGUGGACGAACCUCUGGUGUUCGGGUUGUGUCGCCAGACGCAUUGCCCGGUAGCUAAGUUCGGGAUCGAUAACCGCUGAAAGCAUCUAAGCGGGAAGCGAGCCUUGAGAUGAGUUCUCCCUGAUACUUUAAGUAUCCUAAAGGGUUGUCGUAGACUACGACGUUGAUAGGCAGGGUGUGUAAGCGUUGUGAGGCGUUGAGCUAACCUGUACUAAUUGCCCGUGAGGCUUAACCAU
This 1364-nucleotide ribosomal RNA is filed under the name Vibrio alginolyticus. Its description in RNAcentral is "partial 23S ribosomal RNA". It matches the Rfam family "Bacterial large subunit ribosomal RNA", at positions 1585 to 2925 of the family's 2925-position model. The record is from RNAcentral. RNAcentral also lists the same sequence under 1 other name. Lineage: Bacteria; Pseudomonadati; Pseudomonadota; Gammaproteobacteria; Vibrionales; Vibrionaceae.